Molecule: ribosomal RNA, 476 nt
Filed under: uncultured bacterium
Lineage: Bacteria
Description: bacterial SSU rRNA
Rfam family: Bacterial small subunit ribosomal RNA
Source: RNAcentral
GACGAACGCUGGCGGCGUGCCUAAUACAUGCAAGUCGAACGCAUUUUCUUUCACCGUAGCUUGCUACACCGAAAGAAAAUGAGUGGCGAACGGGUGAGUAACACGUGGGUAACCUGCCCAUCAGCGGGGGAUAACACUUGGAAACAGGUGSUAAUACCGCAUAAUUCCAUUUACCGCAUGGCAGAUGGAUGAAAGGCGCUUYUGCGUCACUGAUGGAUGGACCCGCGGKGCAUUAGCUAGUUGGUGGGGUAACGGCCUACCAAGGYUGCGAUGCAUAGCCGACCUGAGAGGGUGAUCGGCCACACUGGGACUGAGACACGGCCCAGACUCCUACGGGAGGCAGCAGUAGGGAAUCUUCGGCAAUGGACGCAAGUCUGACCGAGCAACGCCGCGUGAGUGAAGAAGGUUUUCGGAUCGUAAAACUCUGUUGUUAGAGAAGAACAAGGAUGAGAGUGGAAAGUUCAUCCCUGACGGAU